CGAGACUCUUCCGGUAUGACGCUACCGCUAUUGAAAUCGGAGAUAGCGUCGUUCAAACUUUGGCGGAUGGAUGCGUGGGUGUUGUAAUGGAGGGUGAUAUCACGGUCCAAAGCAUGA
Molecule: non-coding RNA, 117 nt
Filed under: Fragilariopsis kerguelensis
Lineage: Eukaryota; Bacillariophyta; Bacillariophyceae; Bacillariales; Bacillariaceae
Source: RNAcentral